RNAcentral lists this ribosomal RNA (497 nucleotides) under uncultured bacterium. Its description in RNAcentral is "partial 16S ribosomal RNA". It matches the Rfam family "Bacterial small subunit ribosomal RNA", at positions 28 to 507 of the family's 1533-position model. The record is from RNAcentral.
GAUGAACGCUGGCGGCAUGCCUAAUACAUGCAAGUCGAGCGAACAGACGAGGAUCUUGCUCCUCUGACGUUAGCGGCGGACGGGUGAGUAACACGUGGAUAACCUACCUAUAAGACUGGGAUAACUUCGGGAAACCGGAGCUAUUACCGGAUAAUAUAUUGUACCGCAUGGUCCCAUUGUUAAUGACGGUUUUGCUGUCCCUUAUAGAUGGAUCCGCGCCGCAUUAGCUAGUUGGUAAGGUAACGGCUUACCAAGGCAACGAUGCGUAGCCGACCUGAGAGGGUGAUCGGCCAAACUGGAACUGAGACACGGUACAGACUCCUACGGGAGGCAGCAGUAGGGAAUCUUCCGCAAUGGGCGAAAGCCUGACGGAGCACCGCCGCGUGAGUGAUGAAGGGCUUCGGAUCGUAAAACUCUGUUAUUAGGGAAGAACAAAUGUGUAAGUAACUAUGAACGUCUUGACGGUACCUAAUCAGAAAGCCACGGCUAACUACGUG